CCUACGGGAGGCAGCAGUGAGGAAUAUUGGUCAAUGGCCGGAAGGCUGAACCAGCCAAGUCGCGUGAGGGAAUAAGGCCCUAUGGGUCGUAAACCUCUUUUGUCAGGGAGCAAAGGCGUCCACGAGUGGACGAAAGGAGAGUACCUGAAGAAAAAGCAUCGGCUAACUCCGUGCCAGCAGCCGCGGUAAUACGGAGGAUGCGAGCGUUAUCCGGAUUUAUUGGGUUUAAAGGGUGCGUAGGCGGAGUGUCAAGUCAGCGGUAAAAUUUCGGGGCUCAACCCCGUCGUGCCGUUGAAACUGACACCCUUGAGUGAGUGAGAAGUAAGCGGAAUGCGUGGUGUAGCGGUGAAAUGCAUAGAUAUCGCGCAGAACUCCGAUUGCGAAGGCAGCAUGCCGGCUCCACACUGACGCUGAGGCACGAAAGCGUGGGUAUCGAACAGGAUUAGAUACCCUAGUAGUC
Molecule: ribosomal RNA, 460 nt
Filed under: uncultured bacterium
Lineage: Bacteria
Description: partial 16S ribosomal RNA
Rfam family: Bacterial small subunit ribosomal RNA
Source: RNAcentral